RNAcentral lists this long non-coding RNA (543 nucleotides) under Fukomys damarensis (Damara mole-rat). Its description in RNAcentral is "lncRNA (ENSFDAG00000028280.1)". Lineage: Eukaryota; Metazoa; Chordata; Mammalia; Rodentia; Bathyergidae. The record is from RNAcentral.
AUGGAUGAGGACUCUGGUCAACAUGCAAAUGUACCUGAGGUGUCCUCCAUCACUGAUUGGAAAAAUAAGAUGAGGAAAAGCUGUUGCCAUAUUCUGUGCCAACAGACAAGUGUAUCCUACCUGGGAAAAGAAGCCAGACAGGAUUGCCAUGGGAUAUAAAAAAAGCUCAAAGUGUCUGGGAUUAAGUCCUGUUUAUAAACAUAGACAGAAAUCAUGUCAGAAGAACAAGGAUUCACCGCAACAUCAAGGCCCAUGACAUGGCAGCACUGAUGGAGGUCCCAGCCUCAGAAGGGAUGAGGAUAAACCUUGAGUGGUCACAAAUGGGAAUUCAUCACUGGGCACCCUGUACUCAUCCUCUUUGAAAGAGGAGACCGUUGAAGAAUGUUUUCUGUAGGCUAACUACAGCAGUACACCAAUUUUCUUAACCUCACUCACGUUGUCAGCACAGAUAAACUCUUUACAGGAAAUGUAAGAACUGAGGAAGUGGUUCAAGAGAGACAAAGAUGGUACAAUCCACACAACCCCAAUCCCCAACAACAGGAG